UGGCUCAGGACGAACGCUGGCGGCGUGCUUAACACAUGCAAGUCGAACGGGAGUAUUGAAGAAGCUUGCUUUAGAGAUACUUUAGUGGCGGACGGGUGAGUAACGCGUGAGGAGCUGUCCUAUGCAGGGGGACAACAGCUGGAAACGGCUGCUAAUACCCCAUAAGCCGAGAGGUAAAAGGAUCAAUCCGGCAGAGGAGGUACUCGCGUCCUAUCAGCUAGUAGGUGAGGUAACGGCUCACCUAGGCGAAGACGGGUAGCCGGCCUGAGAGGGCGAACGGCCACACUGGAACUGAGAUACGGUCCAGACUCCUACGGGAGGCAGCAGUGGGGAAUAUUGGGCAAUGGGGGGAAAAACCCCCUGACCCAGCGACGCCGCGUGGGUGAAGAAAUCCUUCGGGAUGUAAAGCCCUGUUGUAUGGGAAGAGCGGAAGACGGUACCAUACGAGGAAGCCCCGGCAAACUACGUGCCAGCCGCCGC
RNAcentral lists this ribosomal RNA (480 nucleotides) under uncultured bacterium. RNAcentral describes it as "bacterial SSU rRNA". It matches the Rfam family "Bacterial small subunit ribosomal RNA", at positions 20 to 518 of the family's 1533-position model. The record is from RNAcentral.